This 238-nucleotide ribosomal RNA is filed under the name uncultured bacterium. RNAcentral describes it as "partial 16S ribosomal RNA". It matches the Rfam family "Bacterial small subunit ribosomal RNA", at positions 84 to 339 of the family's 1533-position model. The record is from RNAcentral.
UUUUUUAGUUAGUGGCAAACGGGUGAGUAACACGUGGGAAUCUGCCCAUCAGUACGGAAUAACUUUUGGAAACAAAAGCUAAUACCGUAUAUUCUCUUCGGAGGAAAGAUUUAUCGCUGAUGGAUGAGCCCGCGUUAGAUUAGGUAGUUGGUAGGGUAAUGGCCUACCAAGCCGAUGAUCUAUAGCUGAUCUGAGAGGAUGAUCAGCCACACUGGGACUGAGACACGGCCCAGACUCC